UUGAUGUUACUAGUAGCUCUGGUUCCUUUUAGCUUGGCCUCGCCAUCCACAGUUCCCACAUUCCUUUGGUCGCCUCACUACAACAAGUAAGCGAAGAGGCGGCAUGCUGUUUCCAAGUCUCUUGAAGAAACGAAGUUGAUGUCUGUUCACCUUACUGAUCAAGUUUAGCCCUAUGGAGUUGCAGAAUCUGUGGACUAUCAGACCAUAUCACCCGGGGAUCUAGCAAAGGUUUUACUAUCUCAAGUCAAGGAGGCUGGUCACACUUGCUGUGCUUGGCAGAGAAACAUCAGCGACAUGCAGAUCUGGCUCUCGUUUUUGUUGGUAGAAAGCGGCAAUCUUCGGAUAUUUCCAGCAAUAGAUGUGGAGAACCUGCUCGCAUGAAGUGACAAAUCUACCGGCUUCUGGGAGGUUAAAUGUUACUGACAGGAUUCAUACACGAAGUCCUAUUUUUCGCUGGCACUCCUUUACAUUGCUGCAUUGUCUGAGUAGGCAAUGGAAAAUCUACUGGUUUCUGGGUUUAAAGAAAGCUGUGGCCUCGAUAUGGACAUCACCAAGGUUGCUUGUCUGGGUUCAUGCUCUGUGCAGGCGGAUGGUUCUCAGAAAAUCUCGGACC
This is a non-coding RNA of Punica granatum (pomegranate), 613 nucleotides long. The record is from RefSeq and is a predicted model, not a curated record. NCBI's taxonomy places the organism in Eukaryota, Viridiplantae, Streptophyta, Magnoliopsida, Myrtales, Lythraceae.